GGAUGAACGCUGGCGGCGUGCCUAAUACAUGCAAGUCGAGCGAACAGACGAGGAGCUUGCUCCUCUGACGUUCGCGGCGGACGGGUGAGUAACACGUGGAUAACCUACCUAUAAGACUGGGAUAACUUCGGGAAACCGGAGCUAAUACCGGAUAAUAUAUUGAACCGCAUGGUUCAAUAGUGAAAGACGGUUUUGCUGUCACUUAUAGAUGGACCCGCGCCGCAUUAGCUAGUUGGUAAGGUAACGGCUUACCAAGGCAACGAUGCGUAGCCGACCUGAGAGGGUGAUCGGCCACACUGGAACUGAGACACGGUCCAGACUCCUACGGGAGGCAGCAGUAGGGAAUCUUCCGCAAUGGGCGAAAGCUUGACGGAGCAACGCCGCGUGAGUGAUGAAGGUCUUCGGAUCGUAAAACUCUGUUAUUAGGGAAGAACAAAUGUGUAAGUAACUAUGCACGUCUUGACGGUACCUAAUCAGAAAGCCACGGCUAACUACGUG
This 498-nucleotide ribosomal RNA is filed under the name uncultured bacterium. RNAcentral's name for it is "partial 16S ribosomal RNA". It matches the Rfam family "Bacterial small subunit ribosomal RNA", at positions 27 to 507 of the family's 1533-position model. The record is from RNAcentral.